This 2327-nucleotide long non-coding RNA is filed under the name Equus caballus (horse). RNAcentral's name for it is "lncRNA (ENSECAG00000045676.1)". The stretch from base 680 to 824 matches the Rfam family "mir-8927 microRNA precursor family". Lineage: Eukaryota; Metazoa; Chordata; Mammalia; Perissodactyla; Equidae. The record is from RNAcentral.
CAGGCUGCACAGGGGCAGCUCAGGUAUAGUCAGCGGGAUAUUGGGGUCACACACUUAAUUCAUUAAUCCACCAAAGCAGCAGCUCAGACAGCCACUUUCCCAGUUAGUUUACGUUAACUGCUCAUCCAGGGUUGGUCAGUUGACUGAAAGCUAGUUCUUGUCAGAACCGUCAUGUGACAGUUGCGGUGGAAUGUCUGGGCUUCUGAGGCAGAGAGCCAAACAGAUACUGGUCACUCAGGGUGGUCCCCUAACCAUCAGGAAGGCUCACCAGGAGGCAGGUGACAGUGUAAGCAUGCUGGGGAAGGUUGAACACAAGUUUGAACAUCCCUUUUCCUUCUGAGGGGCUUUAAUCCAGCAAGACUGGCCAAUCUCAGUUCAGUCUAUGCUUUUUAAAGAAUCACAUCCGUACACUCCAGCCACUUCUCUAAAUAAAGCAAAGCUCCAAGAGUAUUUCAUGAGCAACACCACCGCUGAAGGACUGUUACUCUGAGUCCCCCUAGCACCCCAAGACAACAAGUUGGAGGAGCUUCCUACUGGCGGGGCAGACAAACAGGCUCCAUGAAGUGCCAAAGUGACUUCAAUGACACGUGAAAAUGGUCUGCAUUCUGGAACACUUACAUGCUGAGGAAAAAAUCCAAAUGAACAGAAAGGUGGGGCUUUCUUGCUGGCCUUAGUCUGGAGAGCCUCCAUGAUUCCAGCUUCCUGCUGGGAAUGAGGAUGGGGAGUGUGAUGUAAGAACUGUUUUCCCAGGUAAAGAACUCUGGCAACAUUCUGCAGUCCCUGGAAAAGCUGUGUUCCCUUCAGGGGUGUGGAUUUGUGUGCAUGGGGCCUUAGGGGUGCCUGUGUGUGAGUCUGUGGGAUGUUGUUGUGAAUGCGUCGGGAGUGCAUAUGACAGAGAAUGUCAGUUCUCCAUAGAUACGUCCUAGUUACACAGCACAAUUGUAAGUGCCACCAUCCUCAAAGAAAACCCCAUAGCCACUCUAUGCUUUACACACAAUUGACUUGCUCAUCACUCACCACAGCCAUAUCUGUGGGUGUGUUUGCUGUUCCCACUCCUCAGAAAAUGAGGUGCAGUGAUGAGUGACCCAAGCUCUUGAGCUCCUGUGUGAAAGAGUCUAAGUGUGUAUGCAGGGCUGUGGCCCCAGUGUUGAGGCUCUGAACUACUUUAUAGCCUUCAUUACUCCACAAUUGGAUCAUUAGUCCCAGUGCAAGGGUGUCCCAGCAUCCAUCCAUGUUCCUGAAUCACCUGGGCAUACAGAGGUCUCAAUCACUGUCCUUCAUUAUAAGGUAGCCUCUGUGGUCACAUCACACAGAUCAUAUAUUGGUGCACAUUACCACAAAUGUUGGCAUAGUAAUUAGCAGAAAAAGCAUGGAGAAAGCCCACAUGCUUCUGGUCAGCCACAGAUUCUGAGAGAUCCAGACACCGUGUAGAACAACCUCACCAACUUUUGAUGGUGUGGGGUCAUUCCUCAGCAUCUAGGCCAGAAUAGAUAAGAAUAUAGGUGAUAUUUCAAUGGUAUUUGAUAAGAUUAUAAAAAUAUGGCUAAGAAGUGUUCAAAUUCUGUGAGCUAUCACCCCUGGGAAGAUUGUCACAUAAGAAUAACAGUACUACUUGGUUAUUACCCUGGUGCCCGUCACUCAUUGUAACUCUCUUGUAUAGCUCGGUCAGAGAGCAUCACUGCUCACCCCAGCCCUCCUCUCUGUAAUGAACUUGCCCACUCCUGGCUGGCUAGUGUGAACCUGGCCAGCUGCUGACCAAUAUACACACACAUAUAGUUAGAGAAGCAAGACUGGAAGUGAAAAUAUCACGUGCGUAAUAAUGUUUAGUUGAAAUGGUAGGACAUCCGUAUUUUCCAAAUUUCUAAAAUUGAUUAUCUUUAUGGCAAAUAUUUAGUGAAUAAAUAAAAGAAAAAUUUUCCUGGAAUUAGAUCAGUCUCCCAGUGUAAGGUUGCUUUUCAUCAAUUGGAAAAUCUCAUACAACCGAGGGGAAAUGCAGCAUACAUGGCUCCAUGGAGGCUGAGAUGGUUUGAAGGAAGUCAAGAAGCCAGUGGCAGUUAGCUGGAUUUAAACAUGGGAAAGAAGAGUGAUGGGAAUUCGUUUAAUCAUAGCGUGUAUUUAAUUCCAUUUGUAAGUGGAACACUGCACGUUGGUUUAAGCUGUCUUUAGCUCCAAAGCUGAGGAUUCUGUGUCUCAUUCUUCUCCUUUUCCUCUUCUCUCCUAUGCUUCUUCUGCCAAAGAGGAUGACCUAGCAGCAGCUUAUUCUAUGCUUGUUAAUCAACCACAUCCAUACACUCUAGUUCUGUAUCCAUAUCAAGCAGGGGUCCCUG